Molecule: ribosomal RNA, 285 nt
Filed under: Sphaerorhinus villulosus
Lineage: Eukaryota; Metazoa; Arthropoda; Insecta; Coleoptera; Curculionidae
Description: partial 12S ribosomal RNA
Source: RNAcentral
GUAUUAGUUAUGUUCUUGAAAAUUAAAAGAGUUGGCGGUAUUUUAGUCUAUUCAGAGGAACCUGUCCUGUAAUUGAUGAUCCACGAUCUUUUAUACUUAAUUUCUAUAAGUUUGCAUAUCGCCGUAGGUUGAAUAUUUUUUUAAAAUUUAAAAUGUUCAAAAUUUUCAUGAGAAAGGAAUUCAGGUCAAGAUGUAGCCUAUAGUUAAGAAGAGAUGGGUUACAAUAAAAUUAUUUAUGAUGGAUUAAUAAGUGAAAAUUUUUAUGAAGGUGGAUUUGAUGGUAAU